AUGUCAUGGUGCGGACACUUCCUAAGCAAAUCGUUCAAUCGCUCCCAUGCCUCAUGAAAAUUUUCCCCUUCCCCUUGAGAAAAUUCUCAAAUUGAAGUUCUCAUUGC
Molecule: small nucleolar RNA, 107 nt
Organism: Cornus florida
Lineage: Eukaryota; Viridiplantae; Streptophyta; Magnoliopsida; Cornales; Cornaceae
Source: RefSeq, a predicted model, not a curated record